CACUAUUACAGCUUAUACCACUACAAUAGCAGUUGACCAUUUCUCCAUUAUUUUAUGGUUGGAUGCUGAAGAGACAAGAUAAAGCAAUUGAAAGCUACAAGACCCAACCAACCACCACCAUAACACCAACUUGGAAAAGAGGAUUGUGUAGUCUCCUAUCUCUGAACUUUGUUUUGAUCAAAACAGCAGUACUGAACAAUCUGUAUCUCAUGAAAAGCCAUCAGUUAGCGCCACUGAUACAUCUCUUUUUCUGGCAAUGGAGCUUUGGAUCCUAUGGAUAUGUCUCCUUGUUCUACUAACCACUUAGAUGGCAUACGUGAUGACAACACUUACACAAUUCCCAAGAUUUGUAAAUCAACAAAACCUGGAAGAAGGGCAUCACCAGAAGCCAUAAAGAUGUGGAAAGAAAAUGAUUUUACUAGG
This is an RNA transcript of Magnolia sinica, 423 nucleotides long. It is a transcript of the gene named eIF-2-alpha kinase GCN2-like, with no coding region annotated. The transcript is spliced from 3 exons. NCBI's taxonomy places the organism in Eukaryota, Viridiplantae, Streptophyta, Magnoliopsida, Magnoliales, Magnoliaceae. The record is from RefSeq and is a predicted model, not a curated record.